RNAcentral lists this ribosomal RNA (318 nucleotides) under Triticum aestivum (bread wheat). Its description in RNAcentral is "partial small subunit ribosomal RNA". Lineage: Eukaryota; Viridiplantae; Streptophyta; Magnoliopsida; Poales; Poaceae. The record is from RNAcentral.
AUGGACUCAGGAAAAAAGAUUAUUAAUAAAAAAGAUAAGACACCUGUGGCCCCACACACCACUGACACCUCAUCUUCAUCUUCCUCCCUCUGUUUCUCUCUCGCACGGGCAGAGUACAAGCAGCGCCUCCGCCCUCCCCACUACAUCCCGCCGCCAGCUCAGGGACCCUUCCCCUCCCUUGUUGUGCGCUUCUUUGGCAGGGACUGCACCUCUCCAGUCCCCACCGCCGUUGAGAUGGCCGCCCUUCCCUUUGCCUCUCCACCUCCGUCGAUGGAGGCGCAGACUUUGUCUCCACCAGAUCCUCGGUCGCGGACUUGA